Molecule: small RNA, 147 nt
Filed under: Pongo abelii (Sumatran orangutan)
Lineage: Eukaryota; Metazoa; Chordata; Mammalia; Primates; Hominidae
Description: Metazoan signal recognition particle RNA (ENSPPYG00000035670.1)
Source: Rfam by way of RNAcentral
GUCAGGCAUGGUGGCGGGUGCCUGUAAUCCCAGCUACUUGGAGGCUGAGGCAAGAGAAUUGCUUGAACCCGGGAGGUGGAGAUUGCAGUGAGCUGAGAUCGUGCCACUGCACUCCAUCCUGGGCAACAGAGCAAGACUCUGUCUCAA